AUGACCACGGGUAGCCUAACCGACUCCCCCUGGCUCUUCGAAAAAUUACCAGGCCAAUCGAGCCUUCAAGCAUCCAGAGCACGGGGCCGCCUUCCUCUGGCCAGCUAUCCCCAAGACCGACUACUAGAAGGCGACCCGGCCUCAAAAACCUUCCCGAAGAAAGCUACGAGAUGGCCGACUCCAGGAAGCCGGCCCCAAGAGGACCGACUCCUAGAAGCCGGCCAUGAAGAAGGCCGACUCCCAAAAGCCGGCCAAGACUGCACCCACCAGGGCUGCACCCACAUAACGGUGACAAGACGGGGCGUGGCCGCAGUAUAG
RNAcentral lists this ribosomal RNA (318 nucleotides) under Triticum aestivum (bread wheat). RNAcentral describes it as "partial small subunit ribosomal RNA". Lineage: Eukaryota; Viridiplantae; Streptophyta; Magnoliopsida; Poales; Poaceae. The record is from RNAcentral.